UGGGAGUUGGCUGAACUGUGGGGACCCUC
Molecule: non-coding RNA, 29 nt
Filed under: Macaca fascicularis (crab-eating macaque)
Lineage: Eukaryota; Metazoa; Chordata; Mammalia; Primates; Cercopithecidae
Also listed under: 1 other name
Source: RNAcentral